GCGCACCAGGCGCGAAACUUCACACUGUGCGAAAGCACGAUGAGGGAAUCCCAAGUGCUUGCACGUAAGUGUAAGCUGUUUCUCUGUCUAAAACGCAGAGAGAGUAAGGGCUGGGUAAGACGGGUGCCAGCCGCCGCGGUAAUACCUGCAGCUCAAGUGGUGACCGUUAUUAUUGGGCCUAAAACGUCCGUAGCCGGUUUAAUAAAUGCCUGGGUAAAUUGUGUAGCUUAACUAUACGAAUUCCGGGUAGACUGUUAAACUUGAGACCGGGAGAAGUUAGAGGUACUCCUGGGGUAGAGGUGAAAUUCUGUAAUCCUAGGGGACCACCAGUGGCGAAGGCGUCUAACUAGAACGGGUCUGACGGUGAGGGACGAAGCCCUGGGGCGCAAACGGGAUUAGAUACCCCUGUAGU
This 412-nucleotide ribosomal RNA is filed under the name uncultured microorganism. RNAcentral describes it as "bacterial SSU rRNA". It matches the Rfam family "Archaeal small subunit ribosomal RNA", at positions 330 to 745 of the family's 1478-position model. The record is from RNAcentral.